Cynoglossus semilaevis (tongue sole) is the source of this 612-nucleotide long non-coding RNA. RefSeq lists it as uncharacterized. The record is from RefSeq and is a predicted model, not a curated record. NCBI's taxonomy places the organism in Eukaryota, Metazoa, Chordata, Actinopteri, Pleuronectiformes, Cynoglossidae. The transcript is spliced from 3 exons.
GGGUGGAUGGGAUGGAGGGGUGUGGAGGAUUUACUAAGGGAGGAAAAGGGAAAGAAUGUUGGAAAAAGGAGGGAGAGAGAAGAAACGUAUAAUCACCCCCAAACAGCCAUCUUUACCCAUUUUACCCCCCUCUGGAUCUGCAUGCAUGCAUGGAGAGCACUCAGCCUGUGCGGCUGUCUGUCUCCACUUCACUGCGGAUACGGAGCAGGGAGGGCGGUCUGCUGGAAGACACCGAGAGGAGAGAAACCUCACUGCUGUGCCUGGGAAAGAUGGACAGUUGAACAAAUUGUGACCCUUUGUCACAGUGUAUGUAUGUCUGACACCAAAGCUUUCUCUUUGUCACUUUGAUCCUGAAAGUAAAUACUAGAAAAAGUUUACACUUGCAAACAAACAAAACUAAAACAGAGAACUCACUGAGACAUGUCAGUUCUGCUACUUUGUCUGAAAAUCUGUCUGACACUUUGUUCCUGAAAAAGGAAUAGAUUAUUCUGUGAGCAACACUAACUGAAAAUAUAAAAAGUUUGACUAAAGUGAAUAUGAGAGCUCCGACUCAGACAUUUAAAGCCAGACUACACACUUUGAAAAUAAAGCUGGAAUUUCUGCAGUAAUAAA